Long non-coding RNA from Lagenorhynchus albirostris (white-beaked dolphin), 811 nucleotides. RefSeq lists it as uncharacterized. The transcript has 2 exons. The record is from RefSeq and is a predicted model, not a curated record. Lineage: Eukaryota; Metazoa; Chordata; Mammalia; Artiodactyla; Delphinidae.
GCAUCUUUUCUUUAAGGAGCACAAAGACCUCGAGGUUGCUUUCUUUCUGUUUUGCAUCACUUCCCUGACUAAUACAGACACACUGUAUUUGCAUAACAUAGUUUUGGUCCGCAUGGGACCCCAGCUCCAGCUUCCUGAAUAUGCAUUUUAUUCUGUGCGAUGUCUGAACGUUGCAGCUCUAAUCUCAUCACCAGCCUGUGUACUUCCACUGAGUUAUUCUCCAGGCUUUAGAACCGCACCUCCAAUUUGUAAGCUGAGCUAACGAUUACAUUUUCAUCUCUGAAAGAUGUUAAAUGAAAGCAUGCUUUGUGGGGAGAAUAAAUUGAAGAUCUCAGCAUGAGUGGCCCCCGACCCCCAGCCCAGCGUCUCUGCUUGCUCAGUGGAGGCUGGAGAAUAAACUCCCCUUUCUCUCGAACAUUCAUCUUCACCCAGAGAACCUUGCGGGAACUACGCUCUUAAUACAGCACUGUUUGGCCCCCUUCACUGAGAUGCUUUCAUUUGAUCAGCCCAGAGAAUAACCAUUUCGCAGCCUUGGAGACAGAGUUCAGUGAUUGAAGCACCAGCCGAUGGAAACGGCGUGGGACCCCAGAUAGCUGGGAUCGAUGAAGAAACUGUCCAUCCCUAAAAGAACAGGACAACAGACAGGCUGCAGUUGCAAAAACUACAAUCAGAAUUUCGCUGAGACAAUGGUCUGGAUAUCCUGAACUGACAUCCUGUAAGAAUUUCAAUGUAUUGAACGUAACUGGUAAAAUUUUGGAAGCUUAUGUGAGGAAUGAUUGUUAUUUUCUUCAUAAACUUGGAUUUAAAUGUC